Molecule: long non-coding RNA, 282 nt
Organism: Nymphalis io (European peacock)
Lineage: Eukaryota; Metazoa; Arthropoda; Insecta; Lepidoptera; Nymphalidae
Exons: 3
Source: RefSeq, a predicted model, not a curated record
UCAACGCAGUUGUUUUAAAUUGUUUUGAGUGUGGUUUGGAGUUAAGCAGUAUAUCGAAAUGGAAUAUAAAUAUAGCAAUAUUGCUUUAUUUUUUAUAAUUAUGAGUGUUCACGUUAUUUACUCCGAUGAAACAGAUGAAGAAAAUAAAGCUACUUCAACUUCAUAUAUGCCUCCAGAAUUUCCACUUGACUUCAAUCAAGUUUUUGAUGAUGCCAGUAACGUAUUGCGGAAAGUUGUCGGAAAAAUGAUAGCUAACAAACGUUUACUUGGAUUGGAUUGGUA